GUGCACGCUGGCGGUAGGCCUAACACAUGCAAGUCGAACGGCAGCACAGUAAGAGCUUGCUCUUACGGGUGGCGAGUGGCGGACGGGUGAGGAAUACAUCGGAAUCUACUUUUUCGUGGGGGAUAACGUAGGGAAACUUACGCUAAUACCGCAUACGACCUACGGGUGAAAGCAGGGGAUCUUCGGACCUUGCGCGAUUGAAUGAGCCGAUGUCGGAUUAGCUAGUUGGCGGGGUAAAGGCCCACCAAGGCGACGAUCCGUAGCUGGUCUGAGAGGAUGAUUAGGCCAAAUGGAACUGAGACACGGUCCAGACUCCUACGGGAGGCAGCAGUGGGGAAUAUUGGACAAUGGGCGCAAGCCUGAUCCAGCCAUACCGCGUGGGUGAAGAAGGCCUUCGGGUUGUAAAGCCCUUUUGUUGGGAAAGAAAAGCAGCAGGUUAAUACCCCGCUGUUCUGACGGUACCCAAAGAAUAAGCACCGGCUAACUUCGUG
This 491-nucleotide ribosomal RNA is filed under the name uncultured bacterium. RNAcentral describes it as "partial 16S ribosomal RNA". It matches the Rfam family "Bacterial small subunit ribosomal RNA", at positions 29 to 507 of the family's 1533-position model. The record is from RNAcentral.